This 433-nucleotide ribosomal RNA is filed under the name uncultured bacterium. RNAcentral's name for it is "partial 16S ribosomal RNA". It matches the Rfam family "Bacterial small subunit ribosomal RNA", at positions 29 to 507 of the family's 1533-position model. The record is from RNAcentral.
AACGAACGCUGGCGGCAUGCCUAACACAUGCAAGUCGAACGAGACCUUCGGGUCUAGGGGCGCACGGGUGCGUAACGCGUGGGAACCUGCCCUUAGGUUCGGAAUAACUCCCCGAAAGGGGUGCUAAUACCGGAUAAUGUCUUCGGACCAAAGAUUUAUCGCCUUUGGAUGGGCCCGCGUUGGAUUAGCUAGUUGGUAGGGUAAAAGCAUACCAAGGCGACGAUCCAUAGCUGGUCUGAGAGGAUGAUCAGCCACACUGGGACUGAGACACGGCCCAGACUCCUACGGGGGGCAGCAGUGGGGAAUAUUGGACAAUGGGCGAAAGCCUGAUCAAGCAAUGCCGCGUGAGUGAUGAAGGCCUUAGGGUUGUAAAGCUCUUUUACCCGGGAUGAUAAUGACAGUACCGGGAGAAUAAGCUCCGGCUAACUCCGUG